AUAGGGACGAAGGGCGAAGGGUUAAUAGCCCCUAGUCUGACGGUACCUUUCGAGGAAGCCCCGGCUAACUACGUGCCAGCAGCCGCGGUAAUACGUAGGGGGCGAGCGUUGUCCGGAAUUAUUGGGCGUAAAGAGCGUGUAGGCUGUUCGGUAAGUCUGCCGUGAAAACCUGAGGCUCAACCUCGGGCGUGCGGUGGAUACUGCCGGGCUAGAGGACGGUAGAGGCGAGUGGAAUUCCCGGUGUAGCGGUGAAAUGCGCAGAUAUCGGGAGGAACACCAGUAGCGAAGGCGGCUCGCUGGGCCGUUCCUGACGCUGAGACGCGAAAGCUAGGGGAGCGAACAGGAUUAGAUACCCUGGUAGUCCUAGCUGUAAACGAUGGACACUAGGUGUGGGGGGAGUCGAAUCCCUCUGUGCCGCAGUUAACGCGUUAAGUGUCCCGCCUGGGGAGUACGGCCGCAAGGCUAAAACUCAAAAGAAUUGACGGGGGCCCGCACAAGCAGCGGAGCAUGUUCUUUAAUUCGAUGCAACGCGAAGAACCUUACCUGGACUUGACAUGGUGCUGCAAGCGCACGGAAACGUGUGACCUUCGAGGGUGCACCACAGAUGCUGCAUGGCUGUC
RNAcentral lists this ribosomal RNA (620 nucleotides) under uncultured bacterium. RNAcentral's name for it is "bacterial SSU rRNA". It matches the Rfam family "Bacterial small subunit ribosomal RNA", at positions 439 to 1053 of the family's 1533-position model. The record is from RNAcentral.